Girardinichthys multiradiatus is the source of this 558-nucleotide long non-coding RNA. RefSeq lists it as uncharacterized. The transcript has 3 exons. The record is from RefSeq and is a predicted model, not a curated record. Lineage: Eukaryota; Metazoa; Chordata; Actinopteri; Cyprinodontiformes; Goodeidae.
UAUCGUGUGGAUCGCACACAAGAAAGAGACUGCUAACGGAUGAGACACGUUUUAAGCGAUUCCGUAAAAUGGAUUUCUGCAUAAACUGCAUUUUUAAAUUAGGAAUUACAGCCAGGCUCUACUGUGUGACAAGUUGUGGGAGGCAAAGAUGGACGCUGAAUUGACAACAAGGUUUUGAGCACUACAGAAAGGGAAAGAAUUGCCUUUUUUCUUCUUCUUUCUUGUUGUUUUCAUGGAGCAUUUGCCAGUCCAAACACAGAUGCUUAAAGAGUUUUUGUCCUGCUAGCUGUUUGUGGGUCAAUAGUGUCUCCAGGACACCUGCAGCAGUAUCGGGCUCACCGGACAAAGCCUUCGUCCAACUGAACCAGGAGCAUUUGGACAUCCUGAAGCAAAUAUCUCUCAGUUGAUGCCUGACCAGCUGGCGAGCUACAUGGAUCUUAUAAGGACCAGCUGUAUGCCACAAUACCUGAAGCAAGUUCAGAGCUCAACUAGGCCUAAAAGCAGCAGAGAGAGGAGGAAGCUGGAGUACCCGGUGAGAACCCACACAUGCACGGGGAG